This 56-nucleotide transfer RNA is filed under the name Klebsiella pneumoniae. RNAcentral describes it as "tRNA-Val". It matches the Rfam family "tRNA", at positions 8 to 60 of the family's 71-position model. From Rfam's summary of the family: Transfer RNA (tRNA) molecules are approximately 80 nucleotides in length. Their secondary structure includes four short double-helical elements and three loops (D, anti-codon, and T loops). The record is from RNAcentral. Lineage: Bacteria; Pseudomonadati; Pseudomonadota; Gammaproteobacteria; Enterobacterales; Enterobacteriaceae.
UAGCUCAGUUGGUUAGAGCACCACCUUGACAUGGUGGGGGUCGAUGGUUCGAGUCC